Mus musculus (house mouse) is the source of this 632-nucleotide long non-coding RNA. RefSeq annotates it as predicted gene, 45942. The record is from RefSeq and is a predicted model, not a curated record. NCBI's taxonomy places the organism in Eukaryota, Metazoa, Chordata, Mammalia, Rodentia, Muridae. The transcript is spliced from 5 exons.
GCCAACUGCCCAGCCAACUGAAGACAGUAGUGUUAAUUCAAAAGUUAGAGAUUGAUAUUCAAAUAUUUGACUGCUUUCUGAAUUAGGACAUAGGGAAAUUAAGUUGAAAAUCAGCUAGAAGCUUUCUUCUUGCUUGUGAGCUUCCACAGUACCAGCAGUGCCACGUAGGCUGCUGGAGUAGAAAGGACAGCAACAAUCUCCUGCAGAUGUGACCCCUAUGAUCUAUAGUAACAACCUGCCCGACCUAACUGUGGAUUGUCCUGCUUCUCCAUCCCAGCCUUCAGGCAAUUUGUUUUCACUAAUCAACACUAGAAUAAAGAUCGCCCUCAACCCUCAUGAAGGAAACUUCCUUUGCAGUAGAAAAAGACCACUAUAGAAAAUACCAAGCAACCACAAUGCAGUUAUCAAGCCCAAUCCUACCUGGCAAGGCUCAGGAAAGAUUGCAGAGAAUAAUAAAUGAUUCAAAGAUCAGUGACAUUCAGCCUCCAUUAGAAACAAAUGGCAGUCUUUGAACCAAUAGGACACCAAGAAGAAGGUUCAAGUUUCAACACCAGACUGUCAACUAAGGGUUAUCAUCCUAUUCCAUGGAGUCUUUUAUGAAUUCUCCAAGAACUUGUAGCCACAGAUGCCUU